UCGAACAUUUCGCCUCUAUACAAUUUUAACAAGAAGGUAUUGGAUCCGGAUCUAACAAUCCAAAGCAUCCAUUUAUUACCAACUCGUAAUUUAUGUUUUUAGAGGAAUCACAAGUUAGUUGGGAUUAGUCACUACCUUGCAACCUUUUGGGUUUUAAGCAUCAUUAUGUUCUAAACAGUUAACACCACCAUAUUAUCUCUACUAUAGAGACAAUCAAUUAGAUUACCAUAAUCCAAUCAUUGAUUAAUAAAGAACAAUGUUUUGUCAAACAAAACAUUUAUCCAUUUCACAUAGUGACAGAAUUUAGUUCCUUAAAAUUGGAAUAUAAAGACAAUCUAUGUUUUUCCAAUUUCUUUGGUAGUUCAUAUGAGGAAGUAAGUACCAUCUGCUUUCGCAGAGAUCUAUAUUUGAUUCACUUUCCGAAUGUGAAGCACCUUUUCCUUCUCUCAUAUAUCUUCUACUUCUUAUUAGU
Molecule: long non-coding RNA, 472 nt
Filed under: Malus domestica (apple)
Lineage: Eukaryota; Viridiplantae; Streptophyta; Magnoliopsida; Rosales; Rosaceae
Description: long non-coding RNA (MDOM_LNC000119)
Source: RNAcentral